This is a long non-coding RNA of Ictalurus punctatus (channel catfish), 1917 nucleotides long. RefSeq lists it as uncharacterized. The record is from RefSeq and is a predicted model, not a curated record. The transcript is spliced from 4 exons. Lineage: Eukaryota; Metazoa; Chordata; Actinopteri; Siluriformes; Ictaluridae.
AGAUGCAGAGAAAGGAAAAGAAGAAGAAGAGGUCGGAGUCAAUAAAUGGGAGCUGAAAACAAAGAUAAAUAGGGAGAGGAAGGGAAUGGUAUGGAGGUCUCGGAGCCCGGUGUGUAGGCUGCAUUCUGAUUGGACUAGAUGUUCCCCUAAGCGAGACCUGCAAAAGCUAUUGGAAAUCUGCUCGAAGGAGAGCAGAAGGAGUGGGGAUGUGGCUUUCCGUCAGAGCUGUGUGAGAUAGAUGUGUGUGAUAGUGUCCUGUACGCCUGCACACACUCCAGCGAGGUGAUGCUCUCCCCUUAUGACGCACGUCCACAAGCUGAUGCUCCCUUUGAGAUUACAAAGGCCUAGAAGUGGCACCUGGUCAGAGGAAACAAUCAAGUCUCUUCAGCACUUUGGGCUCUGCAAAUGGAAGAGGGGAAAAAAAAGAUGGAUACAACAACGGGGGCACGGUGGCUUUGUGGUUAGCAUGUUCGCUGCACACGUCCGGGGUUCGAUUCCAGCCGAGGCCCUGUGUGUGCAGAGUUUGCAUGUUCUCCUUGUGCUGCGGGGGUUUCCUCCGGGUGCUCCGGUUUCCUCCCCCAGUCCAAAGACAUGCAUGGUAGGCUGAUUGGCAUGUCUAAAGUGUCCGUAGUGUAUGAAUGGGUGUGUGAAUGUGUAUGUGAUUGUGCCCUGUGAUGGACUGGCACCCUGCCUUGUGCCCGAUGCUUCCUGGGAUAGGCACCAUGUUCCCCCACGACCCUGAAAAGGAGUAAGUGGUUGAAGAUGGAUGGAUGGAUGGAUGGAUGGAUACAACAAUAUCAGAACAAAGAGGUGUCUGUAAUGUCAGUACUUUUGAAAACUCCAUUCCUGGCUUCUUUCCAUACUGAAAAACUAUUGAAAAAUACACUUUUUCCCCCAAAACAAUAUAGACUUUGAUUUUGUGUAUUUGAAAAAUGGGUCUGCAUGUGAGAUAAACACUGAUGUCUAUUGUACUGUGGUUGGUCCCUGACUGCCGCAUGAUCCCCUAUCCAACAUAUUCAAAAUAGAAGAUGAGUUAAUUAAUGAGCUAAUUGGUGUUUGUUGUAAAUUCUAUCUGUUUUGGUCACUUUUUUAUUGAUAAAUGUGGCUAUGUAAAACAUAAAUGCAAAAGUAAAAUAUGAUCAAAAUGCAAGACAUAGUGCUCUGAAUCCACUGCUGUAUAAUCCCUCUCUGAAUUAUUACUACUUUUAGCAACCAUACAAAAAGUCUUGUUUUGUCACUUUGCCAUCUUGGCUAGUGUUUAUUAUAUCAAACAGGGUCAACAGCAUAAACUGUUCAUGGAAUUCCCGUUAGUUUGCUUUUUCACAGACACCAAUGAUUGGCUAGUAUUGCUGUGAUUAAUAGAGGGAGAGUAUACCACCCUCUGAAAUCAGGGCCAGUUUAGCUCUCUUGGAUAGCCAGCCACAUAUGAUUGUGGCAUCGUCAAGAUUUGAACUCAUGAUCACCGGAUGAUAAGGCGAAAACUUUUCUGUUCUUCCACUUGGGAGCCCAAAACUCCAUUUUUUAAAUAUAUAUCAUAUAAAACCACAUAGUUUUAAUGUGGUCUUGGAAAACCCUCUUGAACUCACAUUCAGGCUUUCUGGACUAGGUAGUAUGCUUGCGUGUGUUUUUGGGGUGUGGCUUUUGGGGAAUACUGAAGAUAGAGACUGUAAUGAAUUUCAACUUCAGCUAACAUCUGCCAAAAUCUCUGACUGCACUCUUACUUUUUCAUAAACAAUCUCUAGAAACAGUAAAUACAAGUAGCACGGUAGCAAGGUCAUCUCCAGACCAAAAUAAUUUAUUGACUGAUUUUUGAACAACAACCUCUCUACUAUGGACAAUGGCUUUAACCAAAGAAAGUUUAUUAUCCUUUGAGUUGAAUAAGUUAAAACAACUAGGUGAAGUCAUUUGUCAUAAGAC